AUCCAUUUCAAUCCCCAAUACAAACACAUAGAACAUCAUCCCAAAUUCAGCUAUAUUGGUCAAUGUUAGUACCCAGUUUUCAUUGAAGGAGUCGCGUAUAUACGAAGAGGAAUGUCAAAGUUUCUUCAACUCUUGUUUGUUCAGUGGUGGUUGUGAAUGAUUGCUUAAUAUGAGGAGAAAAUGGAGGAGCAAGUUAAGGAGAGAUCAUCAAGUUAUAUAUGUUUGUGCUUUUCCUUCCUCCAUGGCUGCUAGUAUCUUGACAGACGGAGACAAGUUCACUUGAUCUGUGCAGCGCGGCUGCGGAAACUCCGUCACCAAAUCCUUGAUGCCGCCGCUCCCGAUCACAGAUCUAUGCUUCUUAACCUCCGGAUAACAGAUGUCAUUUAACGAACCGGAAAGCAAGUUCCGAAUCAUCCCAGCUUCUCCGAAUUACUGCCGGAACCAGAAAACAAGUCCCUGGCUCAUCCCAGCUUCUCCACCAUCACCGCCGAUUCAGUAACUACAGCUUAGAGAUGUAACUCGAUAAAAUAAAUUUUACAUAAAGAGGAAAGAGAGAAAACACACGUGUCUUGUCUAAAUACCAUAGGAUUGAAUGAAUGGAUGUGAUUUAAUAAAUUCUAGGAAUUUCAACAAUUGAGGAUUCCAGCGCCCCCAUCCCAUCCCAUACAACCGCAGGAUUGAAAUAUUUCUGAUCCACGUGUACGCCUAGGAUUCAAAUGAAAGAAAACUAUGAUGCUAGUGGGAAUAGCAGAUCAUACUCUUCAAUGAAA
Molecule: long non-coding RNA, 770 nt
Organism: Tripterygium wilfordii
Lineage: Eukaryota; Viridiplantae; Streptophyta; Magnoliopsida; Celastrales; Celastraceae
Exons: 3
Source: RefSeq, a predicted model, not a curated record